RNAcentral lists this ribosomal RNA (496 nucleotides) under uncultured bacterium. RNAcentral's name for it is "partial 16S ribosomal RNA". It matches the Rfam family "Bacterial small subunit ribosomal RNA", at positions 29 to 523 of the family's 1533-position model. The record is from RNAcentral.
AUUGAACGCUGGCGGCAUGCCUUACACAUGCAAGUCGAACGGUAGAGGGGCAACCCUUGAGAGUGGCGAACGGGUGAGUAAUGCAUCGGAACGUGCCCAGUAGUGGGGGAUAGCCCGGCGAAAGCCGGAUUAAUACCGCAUGAGACCUGAGGGUGAAAGCGGGGGACUCGAAAGGGCCUCGCGCUAUUGGAGCGGCCGAUGUCAGAUUAGCUAGUUGGUGGGGUAAAGGCCUACCAAGGCGACGAUCUGUAGCUGGUCUGAGAGGACGACCAGCCACACUGGGACGGAGACACGGCCCAGACUCCUACGGGAGGCAGCAGUGGGGAAUUUUGGACAAUGGGCGCAAGCCUGAUCCAGCCAUGCCGCGUGCGGGAAGAAGGCCUUCGGGUUGUAAACCGCUUUUGUCAGGGAAGAAAUCUUCUGGGUUAAUACCCUGGGAGGAUGACGGUACCUGAAGAAUAAGCACCGGCUAACUACGUGCCAGCCGCCGCCGUAA